CCAUGGCUGUCAUACCCUUAUGAACCAAUAUCCGCUUGAGCUGAUUGAAGAUUCUCUUGGUGGAGAUGGGAUGCUGCAGGUGCCUCUGUGCUUUGUUUAGGUGUCUUGUUAAAGGGAGGAGCAACUGAUAAUGUUCAAAGUAUUUUUGCUCCUUGACGGACCUGCAUGCAUUGAAAGGUUUGUUUGGUUUUGUUGGCAACUAGCAAGUUGUAUUUUAAACUGCCAUAAUUAAGAAUGUAAUUUUGCACGCACUCUAUUCUUAGGGGUUUUGUUUCUCCGCUUUGUUUUAUCGGGUGGAAGGGGAAUCUGAAAUCUUGUUGUACAUGAUGUGUGACAAUUCUUUUAGGUUAUUUAGUAAUAGCAUAUGGAAAUAGUUGCUAAUCCAAUAGUUGGCUCCACACAAUUUUAUUGCACUGCAAUAUUUUGUAGGGGGAAAGGUUAAAAUGUAAGAAUGCUGGAGCUGCUGUGAGCACUAGUCGCCAACCAUUGGAUUAGCAACUAUUUCCAUAUGCUAUUACUAAAUAACCUAAAAGAAUUGUCACACAUCAUGUACAACAAGAUUUCAGAUUCCCCUUCCACCCGAUAAAACAAAGCGGAGAAACAAAACCCCUAAGAAUAGAGUGCGUGCAAAAUUAC
This 636-nucleotide unclassified non-coding RNA is filed under the name Hevea brasiliensis (rubber tree). The record is from RNAcentral. Lineage: Eukaryota; Viridiplantae; Streptophyta; Magnoliopsida; Malpighiales; Euphorbiaceae.